AACGACUCUCGGCAACGGAUAUCUCGGCUCUCGCAUCGAUGAAGAACGUAGCGAAAUGCGAUACUUGGUGUGAAUUGCAGAAUCCCGUGAACCAUCGAGUCUUUGAACGCAAGUUGCGCCCGAAGCCAUCCGGCCGAGGGCACGUCUGGCUGGGUGUCACACAACG
This 166-nucleotide ribosomal RNA is filed under the name Eurypetalum unijugum. RNAcentral's name for it is "5.8S ribosomal RNA". It matches the Rfam family "5.8S ribosomal RNA". From Rfam's summary of the family: 5.8S ribosomal RNA (5.8S rRNA) is a component of the large subunit of the eukaryotic ribosome. It is transcribed by RNA polymerase I as part of the 45S precursor that also contains 18S and 28S rRNA. Lineage: Eukaryota; Viridiplantae; Streptophyta; Magnoliopsida; Fabales; Fabaceae. The record is from RNAcentral.